Strongylocentrotus purpuratus (purple sea urchin) is the source of this 344-nucleotide long non-coding RNA. RefSeq lists it as uncharacterized. Lineage: Eukaryota; Metazoa; Echinodermata; Echinoidea; Camarodonta; Strongylocentrotidae. The record is from RefSeq and is a predicted model, not a curated record. The transcript is spliced from 2 exons.
CCCCUCCACCUCCUCCACCACGCGACGGUUCUUCCCCUCCUCCUCCUCCACCACGUGACGGUUCUGCCCCUCCACCGCCUCCUAGUGGACCCCCUUCAACAUAGAGGCCUUCUCCUCCAAACCCAAACCAAGUGUAGACGAACGAAAAGCUGAUUCCACGCAGGACUAGAAGACUGCUGUUUAUCAAAUGACAACGAAUUUAGUCUUUUACCAUUAACGACAACGAAUGGCAACCAAUCUUAAAUAUGAGUUUCCUUAUGAUGAUCUAGGCCUUUCAUGUAGUUUUGUUUUUCUUCUAUACGAUCAUGAAAUGAUAAGAGAUGAAAGAUUGGGUAAAACUAAAC